AUGAUAAUUAGUUUAAGCCAAAA
Molecule: transfer RNA, 23 nt
Filed under: Canis lupus (wolf)
Lineage: Eukaryota; Metazoa; Chordata; Mammalia; Carnivora; Canidae
Description: partial tRNA-Arg
Source: RNAcentral